Molecule: ribosomal RNA, 440 nt
Filed under: uncultured bacterium
Lineage: Bacteria
Description: partial 16S ribosomal RNA
Rfam family: Bacterial small subunit ribosomal RNA
Source: RNAcentral
CCUACGGGAGGCUGCAGUAGGGAAUAUUGCUCAAUGGGGGAAACCCUGAAGCAGCAACGCCGCGUGGAGGAUGAAGGUUUUCGGAUUGUAAACCCCUUUUGUUAGAGAAGAUAAUGACGGUAUCUAACGAAUAAGCACCGGCUAACUCCGUGCCAGCAGCCGCGGUAAUACGGAGGGUGCAAGCGUUACUCGGAAUCACUGGGCGGAAAGAGCGCGUAGGCGGGAUAGCAAGUCAGAUGUGAAAUCCUAUGGCUUAACCAUAGAACUGCAUUUGAAACUGUUAUUCUAGAGUAUGGGAGAGGUAGGUGGAAUUCUUGGUGUAGGGGUAAAAUCCGUAGAGAUCAAGAGGAAUACUCAUUGCGAAGGCGACCUGCUAGAACAUAACUGACGCUGAUGCGCGAAAGCGUGGGGAGCAAACAGGAUUAGAUACCCUAGUAGUC